AUGAUCCAUCUCUACCGAGGCGACCCUUCCAAGCGAUUCAUUGACCCGGCGGCGGCGGUGCGAUCCGCGCUGGCGGAGGCGCUGGUGCACUACUACCCGCUGGCCGGCCGGCUGCGCGCGGAGGCCGGCCGGAAGCUGGUUGUGGACUGCGCCGGGCAGGGCAUCGUGUUCGCGGAGGCGGACGCCGACAUCGCCGUCGACGAUCUCGGUGACGUGCGGUACCCGCCGUUCCCGCGCUCCGAGAAGUUCACCUACGACGAUCACGUCUACAGGGCGCCCCCGGCCGGCGUGCCGCUAUCCCUGCCGGCAAUCAUCGACCAGCCCUUGAUGUUUGUCCAGGUGACACGGCUCAAGUGCGGAGGCUUCACCGUGUCCCAGCAGAACGCUCACUGCAUCUGCGACGGCCCCGGCCUGGCGCAGUUCUGGAAGGCAGUCGGCGAGCUCGCCCGCGGCGCCGGCACGCCGUCCGUGCCGCCCGUCUGGGCCAGGGAGAUCUUCAACGCGCGGCAGCCACCGCGCCCUUCCUUCGCUCAUCACGAGUACAGGGAGCCAGCAGACGGGCGCGACCGGUUCGAGUCCACGCCACCGGACGCCAUGGCGCGCGUCCAGUUCUCCUUCUGGCCUGACGCGAUCGCCGCGCUGCGCGGCCGGCUCGCGCCGGGAGCGGCAUGGGCGUCCCAGUUGGACCUGGUAGUGGCCUGCGUGUGGCGGAGCCGCACGGCGGCGCUUGGCUACGCGCCCGGGGACGAGGUGCGGCUGAGGAUGCCGGUGAACGCGCGCGGCCGGCGCUGUUAG
This 795-nucleotide ribosomal RNA is filed under the name Triticum aestivum (bread wheat). RNAcentral's name for it is "partial small subunit ribosomal RNA". The record is from RNAcentral. Lineage: Eukaryota; Viridiplantae; Streptophyta; Magnoliopsida; Poales; Poaceae.